Non-coding RNA from Pelobates cultripes (western spadefoot toad), 863 nucleotides. Lineage: Eukaryota; Metazoa; Chordata; Amphibia; Anura; Pelobatidae. The record is from the annotation of a GenBank genome assembly.
AAAACUUAAUAUGCAAAUUAAAACUAUAGUUGAACAGCAAGAUAUAGUGUAUCCACUAUAUUCCUGUGGAAGUCAGGCCUAGACUCCCUUAAGAUGAAAUGAAUAAAACACUUGAGCUAAUUUAAACCAAUUGUUAAAGGGACACUAUAGUCACCAGAACAACUAUAGCUUAAUGUACUUGUUCUGGUGAGUAUAAACAUUGCCUUUUACCUUUUCGGAGAGGGGAAAAAAAAAGUUUGCAUUUUCAGAGAAAAGGCAGUAUUUACAUUGCCCCUAGGGACACCUCCAGAUGGCCACUGGCGGUGCUUCCUGAAGCAGUGUUGGACAGUAGGCAUGGGGGUGCUGAAUUUUCCUCAGAUGCAUUGAUUCAAUACCUCUCUAUGAGGAGGUGCUGAUUGGCCAAAACGGUGUUUGGCCCUGCCCCUUGCCAAUUUUAGCCAAUCCUUGUCAAAGCAUUGGAUUGGCUAAAAAUUGGCAAUUCUGAUGUCACCAAAGGGAGUGGGGCCAGUGUCAACAGAUACAUGCAGCACUUGAAAUAAGCGGAGUUUUUUAAUUGCUUGGAAAUGGGGUGGGGAGGCGGCAAGAUACCAAAAUGGUGGGUUUAGCACUAUAGGGUCAUGAAUACAUGUUUAUGUUCCUGACCCUACAGUGCUCCUUUUAAUUCUUUUUAUGCUGGUAAGUGAUUUUAAGGCUUCUAGUUUAUAUUGGUGGAUAAGCUUUCUAUAUUUCCACACAAAAAAAGUUCUGGCCUAUGCAACUUGAAUGGUGCAAAUUGUGGUGGCUUGGUUACAUACUUUCUCAUUGUUGUGCAAUUAUACAUUUGUUUAAUGCAAUUUCUUUGUGUUUCUCUCAUCUAAAAUCCG